This 437-nucleotide ribosomal RNA is filed under the name uncultured bacterium. RNAcentral describes it as "bacterial SSU rRNA". It matches the Rfam family "Bacterial small subunit ribosomal RNA", at positions 958 to 1397 of the family's 1533-position model. The record is from RNAcentral.
AACGCGAAGAACCUUACCAGGGUUUGACAUCCCGUGCCAUGCUCAGAGAUGGGCAGUCCCCGCAAGGGGCGCGGAGACAGGUGCUGCAUGGCUGUCGUCAGCUCGUGUCGUGAGAUGUUGGGUUAAGUCCCGCAACGAGCGCAACCCUCGCCUUUAGUUGCCAUCAUUAAGUUGGGCACUCUAGAGGGACCGCCGGCGACAAGCCGGAGGAAGGUGGGGAUGACGUCAAGUCCUCAUGGCCCUUACACCCUGGGCUACACACGUGCUACAAUGGCGGUGACAGUGGGCAGCCAACUCGCGAGAGUGAGCUAAUCCCAAAAAACCGUCCCAGUUCAGAUUGCACUCUGCAACUCGGGUGCAUGAAGGUGGAAUCGCUAGUAAUCGCAGAACAGCAGGCUGCGGUGAAUACGUUCCCGGGCCUUGUACACACCGGCUAC